RNAcentral lists this ribosomal RNA (274 nucleotides) under uncultured bacterium. RNAcentral describes it as "partial 16S ribosomal RNA". It matches the Rfam family "Bacterial small subunit ribosomal RNA", at positions 523 to 796 of the family's 1533-position model. The record is from RNAcentral.
AUACGGAGGGUGCAAGCGUUACUCGGAAUCACUGGGCGUAAAGCGCGCGCAGGCGGGCUGAUAAGUUGGAUGUGAAAGCCUACGGCUCAACCGUAGAACUGCAUCCAAAACUGUCAGUCUAGAGUGUGGGAGAGGAAGAUGGAAUUAGUUGUGUAGGGGUAAAAUCCGUGGAGAUAACUAGGAAUACCAAAAGCGAAGGCAAUCUUCUGGAACACUACUGACGCUGAGGCGCGAAGGCGUGGGGAGCAAACAGGAUUAGAAACCCGAGUAGUCC